GUAGACUUCUUUUUCCUAGUAGACUUCCUUAGUGAAACUUCUGCUACUGCAUUGUGUGCGUGUGGAGCCUCCACAACUUGUGGCUGUAAACGCUCUUCAAUCAUAGGUGAAGGUUUCAUUAUCUCUUUCUAUAUGGGAAAAGAAAUAUAGAUAGUACCAAUCCAUUCAUUCUUUUCUAUGAUCUUGGAAUGACUACUUUCAUCAGUCAUAUCAAAUUUUAGAAACUUAGCUGUAUAAGAUUCUACAAUUCUAGAUCCACCUUCUCUGCAAUAGAACCUAUAACCCUUUGAAUGUUCAGGAUAUCCAUAAAGUAGCAAC
This 318-nucleotide long non-coding RNA is filed under the name Elaeis guineensis (African oil palm). RNAcentral describes it as "long non-coding RNA (EGUI_LNC020525)". Lineage: Eukaryota; Viridiplantae; Streptophyta; Magnoliopsida; Arecales; Arecaceae. The record is from RNAcentral.